CUCCUUCGGAAAGCUCUGGGGCCACCAAAGGCCCUGCUUCGGGCUCCUUCCUCCAUCUUCACUGUGCCAGGCCCCCAGCCAGAGAGGGGAUUUAAAGGAGAAUCUGGCUUUGUCCCCGCCUGGAGAAGCUCAUGUGGAUAUAGAACCUGUGACACCUAACACCAUUCGGGGGUGCAAGGAGAGCGGGAGUGGUGGUCACAGAGGUGACCCCAGUACCAGGAGCAGCAUGGGCCAAGGCCCAGGGGCAAGACAGCCCUGUGCUAUUCUCUGAGUCCUUUCCUCCAUCUCUCCACUGUGCAAAGCGUGGGAUUACAAUGCACAUUACAAGGGCUGGGAGACUUAGGGAGGCAGUUUCCUGAGCCCCGUGGAUACUCCCAGAGAUGGGCUCUGAGGCUUUCCUCGCAGGCCAGGGCUGUGGGGGCCUGAACCACCUCCUUCUUUGCAAAGGGACAGCCUGGAGCCACAGCCCAGGGCUGCUGUGAAGUGGUGCAUCUUUUCACCAAGUCACUUCUGGAUGUGACACAGACUGGACCUCAUGAGUGAGGCCCCCAGGGAAACCUCCCAGCCAGGUGGCUGAGCCCCACACCCAGAGGAGGCCAGCCUCAAAGGGAAGACACAGCCAGGAGGGGACAGCGCCUGCCCUUCCUCCGGCCACUGCACCUGCUGUGCACCGGCGCUAUAGCACAGCUGGGCAGAGUGAACCGCUGUCACCUGACUUCACCCACAUAGCAAUUUGUAUCUCUGAGACACUGGGAAAUUGAGGCACAGGUGGAAAUGGCAAUCCGUAGGUUAACACAGCUCAAUCAUUCAGAGCACCUGGACCUGGAGACAUCUCAGCUCUGCCACGUCCUUCUUGCAUGACCUCUAUGCAGUGAAUGCCCUGUGCCUCAGUUUCCCCAUCUGUAAAUUAAGAACCAUCACUGCUUCCUUGUGGGUCGUGAUCAGGAUGGAAGAACACAUUAAGAAGCCUCCUCAGAUGCCUAGCAUGUAAGAAACCUUGAUUAGAAUUACUACUCAGACCACAGAGCCAUUUCAUUAUUCUUAUUUUUGCCAUUAAGCAUGCUGUGAACAUUUGUGAAAUAAAUGAUUUUUCCUGGUGUUUUAUGAAAUGUUUAGACACACAACAAAAUUGAGAAAAAGUGUUUAGUGGGCCGGGCAUGCUGGCUCAUGCCUGUAAUCCCAACACUUUGGGAGGCCAAGGCGGGCGGAUCACAAGGUCAGGAGAUCGAGACC
RNAcentral lists this long non-coding RNA (1233 nucleotides) under Homo sapiens (human). RNAcentral describes it as "HSALNT0278021". Lineage: Eukaryota; Metazoa; Chordata; Mammalia; Primates; Hominidae. The record is from RNAcentral.